AACGCGAAGAACCUUACCUGGGCUAGACGACGGCGGACAGCCCGAGAAAUCGGGUCUUCUCUUUGGAGACCGCCGGUUCAGGUGUUGCAUGGCUGUCGUCAGCUCGUGUCGUGAGAUGUUGGGUUAAGUCCCGCAACGAGCGCAACCCUUGUCCUUAGUUAAAUAUCCUAGGGAGACUGCCGGGCGAAACCCGGAGGAAGGUGGGGAUGACGUCAAGUCCGCAUGCCCUUUAUGUCCAGGGCUACACACACGCUACAAUGGCCGGUACAACGGGUUCCGACACGGCGACGUGAAGGCAAUCCCUUAAAGCCGGUCUCAGUUCGGAUUGUUGGCUGCAACUCGCCAGCAUGAAGUCGGAGUUGCUAGUAACCGCUGGUCAGCACACAGCGGUGAAUACGUUCCCGGGCCUUGUACACACCGAUACUC
RNAcentral lists this ribosomal RNA (426 nucleotides) under uncultured bacterium. Its description in RNAcentral is "bacterial SSU rRNA". It matches the Rfam family "Bacterial small subunit ribosomal RNA", at positions 958 to 1398 of the family's 1533-position model. The record is from RNAcentral.